Molecule: RNA transcript, 2461 nt
Organism: Myotis lucifugus (little brown bat)
Lineage: Eukaryota; Metazoa; Chordata; Mammalia; Chiroptera; Vespertilionidae
Gene: SLC44A1
Gene name: solute carrier family 44 member 1
Exons: 18
Source: RefSeq, a predicted model, not a curated record
CAGCAUGCAAUUUAAAACGGAUUUAUUUGUGGCUUUUCAGUAGCAACAGGUGCAGCAGCGAGACUAGUGUCAGGAUACGACAGCUAUGGAAAUAUCUGUGGGCAGAAAAAUGCAGAGUUGGAAUCAAUACCAAACAGUGGCAUGGACCACACCCAUCGGAAGUAUGUGUUCUUUUUGGAUCCGUGCAAUCUGGACUUGAUCAACCGGAAGAUCAAGUCUGAAGCACUGUGCGUAGCAGCAUGUCCAAGACAAGAGCUGAAAACCCUGAGUGAUGUUCAGAAGUUUGCAGAGAUGAAUGGCUCAGCACUAUGUCACUACAAGCUAAAGCCUUCUGAAUACACAUCUUCAAAAGCGUCUUCUCUUUGCCCCAAACUACCAGUUCCAGCGAGUGCACCUAUUCCAUUCUUCCAUCGCUGUGCUCCUGUGAACAUUUCCUGCUAUGCCAAGUUUGCAGAGGCCCUGAUCACCUUUGUCAGUGACAAUAGUGUCUUACACAGGCUGAUUAGUGGAGUAAUGGCCAGCAAAGAAAUUAUAUUGGGACUUUGCUUGUUAUCACUAGUUCUGUCCAUGAUUUUGAUGGUGAUAAUCAGGUAUAUAUCAAGAGUACUUGUGUGGAUCGUGACAAUUCUGGUCAUACUGGGGUCACUUGGUGGCACAGGUGUACUAUGGUGGCUAUAUGCAAAACAAAGAAAGUCUCCCAAAGAAACAGUUAUUCCUGAGCAGCUCCAGAUAGCUGAAGACAAUCUUCGGGCCCUCCUCAUCUAUGCCAUUUCAGCUACAGUGUUCACGGUUAUCUUGUUCCUGAUCAUGUUGUUUAUGCGCAAACGCAUUGCUCUCACUAUCGCCUUGUUCCACGUGGCGGGCAAGGUCUUCAUUCACUUGCCACUGCUAGUCUUCCAACCCUUUUGGACUUUCUUUGCCCUUGUCCUGUUUUGGGCGUACUGGAUCAUGACACUUCUUUUUCUUGGCACUACUGGCAGCGCUGUGAAGAACGACCAAGGCUUUGUGGAGUUCAGGGUCUCGGGGCCUCUGCAGUACAUGUGGUGGUACCAUGUGGUGGGCCUGAUUUGGAUCAGUGAAUUCAUUCUGGCCUGUCAGCAGAUGACUGUGGCAGGAGCGGUGGUGACAUACUAUUUUACCAGGGAUAAAAGGAAUUUGCCAUUUACACCUAUUUUGGCAUCAGUGAAUCGCCUUGUCCGUUAUCACCUUGGUACUGUGGCCAAAGGAUCUUUCAUCAUCACAUUAGUCAAGAUUCCACGAAUGAUCCUUAUGUACAUUCACAGUCAGCUGAAAGGAAAGGAAAAUGCCUGUGCUCGAUGUAUGUUGAAAUCUUGCAUUUGUUGCCUUUGGUGUCUUGAAAAGUGCCUCAAUUAUUUAAAUCAGAAUGCAUACACAGCCACAGCUAUCAACAGCACCAACUUCUGCACCUCUGCGAAGGACGCCUUUGUCAUUCUCGUGGAGAAUGCUUUGCGAGUGGCUGCCAUCAACACAGUGGGGGAUUUCAUGUUAUUCCUCGGCAAGGUGCUGAUAGUCUGCAGCACGGGCUUGGCUGGGAUUAUGCUGCUCAACUACCAGCAAGAUUACACAGUAUGGGUGCUGCCUCUGAUCAUCGUCUGCCUCUUUGCUUUCCUAGUCGCUCAUUGCUUCCUGUCCAUUUAUGAAAUGGUAGUGGAUGUAUUAUUCUUGUGUUUUGCCAUUGAUACAAAAUACAAUGAUGGGAGCCCUGGCAGAGAAUUCUAUAUGGAUAAAGUACUGAUGGAGUUUGUGGAAAACAGUAGGAAAGCAAUGAAGGAAGCUGGGAAGGGAGGCGCUGCUGAUGCCAGAGAGCUGAAACCGAUGUCUCUGAUGAUCAGCCCCCUGAUUUUUAAAUGGACAUCCACUCAUCCUGAACAAAGACUACAUUUCUCAGCCCCCUUGCAGUGGGAUGUGAGUGGAAAUGACAUGUAACUACCAGAAUGUGUCUUUAAAGGGAAGAGCCAUUGUCCCUUUCUUCUUCCUUGCUGGCUGGAAUUCAGAUGUGAUGGGUAGAGGACCAGUAGCCAUCCUGGACAACAAGGUGACCUUGAGAUUUGAAGACAUGCAUGAUGGAGCAACAAUAUAGAAGCUGAACAUAAUCCUAACUGCUACCAAAGAUAUAUUUUCAGGUGACUUGGAGCUAAAAAAGCUAGCCGUCCAUAGUUCAUUGGGUAACAGUGAAAGCUUGGAAGCAAUGGACUAAAUCCGACAGCAUGGAGUUUAAGCUGAAGAAAAGGUGACUGGUCCCAUGAGCCGGGAAGAAUGAACUCAGAGGAGGCUGUUUAUACAAGGUUCUCCCACUCACCAGCUGUUGGGAGUAUGUGGAUGAAGGGCAGGAUCUUAUUACUUCAGUGGAAGCAAUGGAAGCCGGCGACCAUGUUCCCAAGCCACAAACAGCCAAGUGGAUUUGGCACAGUGGGGCUGCCUCAUAAAUAAUUAAUCAGAA